RNAcentral lists this ribosomal RNA (2466 nucleotides) under Escherichia coli. RNAcentral's name for it is "partial 23S ribosomal RNA". It matches the Rfam family "Bacterial large subunit ribosomal RNA", at positions 344 to 2798 of the family's 2925-position model. The record is from RNAcentral. Lineage: Bacteria; Pseudomonadati; Pseudomonadota; Gammaproteobacteria; Enterobacterales; Enterobacteriaceae.
GGAAAGGCGCGCGAUACAGGGUGACAGCCCCGUACACAAAAAUGCACAUGCUGUGAGCUCGAUGAGUAGGGCGGGACACGUGGUAUCCUGUCUGAAUAUGGGGGGACCAUCCUCCAAGGCUAAAUACUCCUGACUGACCGAUAGUGAACCAGUACCGUGAGGGAAAGGCGAAAAGAACCCCGGCGAGGGGAGUGAAAAAGAACCUGAAACCGUGUACGUACAAGCAGUGGGAGCACGCUUAGGCGUGUGACUGCGUACCUUUUGUAUAAUGGGUCAGCGACUUAUAUUCUGUAGCAAGGUUAACCGAAUAGGGGAGCCGAAGGGAAACCGAGUCUUAACUGGGCGUUAAGUUGCAGGGUAUAGACCCGAAACCCGGUGAUCUAGCCAUGGGCAGGUUGAAGGUUGGGUAACACUAACUGGAGGACCGAACCGACUAAUGUUGAAAAAUUAGCGGAUGACUUGUGGCUGGGGGUGAAAGGCCAAUCAAACCGGGAGAUAGCUGGUUCUCCCCGAAAGCUAUUUAGGUAGCGCCUCGUGAAUUCAUCUCCGGGGGUAGAGCACUGUUUCGGCAAGGGGGUCAUCCCGACUUACCAACCCGAUGCAAACUGCGAAUACCGGAGAAUGUUAUCACGGGAGACACACGGCGGGUGCUAACGUCCGUCGUGAAGAGGGAAACAACCCAGACCGCCAGCUAAGGUCCCAAAGUCAUGGUUAAGUGGGAAACGAUGUGGGAAGGCCCAGACAGCCAGGAUGUUGGCUUAGAAGCAGCCAUCAUUUAAAGAAAGCGUAAUAGCUCACUGGUCGAGUCGGCCUGCGCGGAAGAUGUAACGGGGCUAAACCAUGCACCGAAGCUGCGGCAGCGACGCUGAUGCGUUGUUGGGUAGGGGAGCGUUCUGUAAGCCUGCGAAGGUGUGCUGUGAGGCAUGCUGGAGGUAUCAGAAGUGCGAAUGCUGACAUAAGUAACGAUAAAGCGGGUGAAAAGCCCGCUCGCCGGAAGACCAAGGGUUCCUGUCCAACGUUAAUCGGGGCAGGGUGAGUCGACCCCUAAGGCGAGGCCGAAAGGCGUAGUCGAUGGGAAACAGGUUAAUAUUCCUGUACUUGGUGUUACUGCGAAGGGGGGACGGAGAAGGCUAUGUUGGCCGGGCGACGGUUGUCCCGGUUUAAGCGUGUAGGCUGGUUUUCCAGGCAAAUCCGGAAAAUCAAGGCUGAGGCGUGAUGACGAGGCACUACGGUGCUGAAGCAACAAAUGCCCUGCUUCCAGGAAAAGCCUCUAAGCAUCAGGUAACAUCAAAUCGUACCCCAAACCGACACAGGUGGUCAGGUAGAGAAUACCAAGGCGCUUGAGAGAACUCGGGUGAAGGAACUAGGCAAAAUGGUGCCGUAACUUCGGGAGAAGGCACGCUGAUAUGUAGGUGAAGUCCCUCGCGGAUGGAGCUGAAAUCAGUCGAAGAUACCAGCUGGCUGCAACUGUUUAUUAAAAACACAGCACUGUGCAAACACGAAAGUGGACGUAUACGGUGUGACGCCUGCCCGGUGCCGGAAGGUUAAUUGAUGGGGUUAGCGCAAGCGAAGCUCUUGAUCGAAGCCCCGGUAAACGGCGGCCGUAACUAUAACGGUCCUAAGGUAGCGAAAUUCCUUGUCGGGUAAGUUCCGACCUGCACGAAUGGCGUAAUGAUGGCCAGGCUGUCUCCACCCGAGACUCAGUGAAAUUGAACUCGCUGUGAAGAUGCAGUGUACCCGCGGCAAGACGGAAAGACCCCGUGAACCUUUACUAUAGCUUGACACUGAACAUUGAGCCUUGAUGUGUAGGAUAGGUGGGAGGCUUAGAAGUGUGGACGCCAGUCUGCAUGGAGCCGACCUUGAAAUACCACCCUUUAAUGUUUGAUGUUCUAACGUGGACCCGUAAUCCGGGUUGCGGACAGUGUCUGGUGGGUAGUUUGACUGGGGCGGUCUCCUCCUAAAGAGUAACGGAGGAGCACGAAGGUUGGCUAAUCCUGGUCGGACAUCAGGAGGUUAGUGCAAUGGCAUAAGCCAGCUUGACUGCGAGCGUGACGGCGCGAGCAGGUGCGAAAGCAGGUCAUAGUGAUCCGGUGGUUCUGAAUGGAAGGGCCAUCGCUCAACGGAUAAAAGGUACUCCGGGGAUAACAGGCUGAUACCGCCCAAGAGUUCAUAUCGACGGCGGUGUUUGGCACCUCGAUGUCGGCUCAUCACAUCCUGGGGCUGAAGUAGGUCCCAAGGGUAUGGCUGUUCGCCAUUUAAAGUGGUACGCGAGCUGGGUUUAGAACGUCGUGAGACAGUUCGGUCCCUAUCUGCCGUGGGCGCUGGAGAACUGAGGGGGGCUGCUCCUAGUACGAGAGGACCGGAGUGGACGCAUCACUGGUGUUCGGGUUGUCAUGCCAAUGGCACUGCCCGGUAGCUAAAUGCGGAAGAGAUAAGUGCUGAAAGCAUCUAAGCACGAAACUUGCC